GCUUUGCACUCCUACGGGAGGCAGCAGUGGGGAAUAUUGCACAAUGGGCGCAAGCCUGAUGCAGCCAUGCCGCGUGUAUGAAGAAGGCCUUCGGGUUGUAAAGUACUUUCAGCAGUGAGGAAGGCGGGUACGUUAAUAGCGUGCUUGUUUGACGUUAGCUGCAGAAGAAGCACCGGCUAACUCCGUGCCAGCAGCCGCGGUAAUACGGAGGGUGCGAGCGUUAAUCGGAAUUACUGGGCGUAAAGCGCAUGCAGGUGGUUUGUUAAGUCAGAUGUGAAAGCCCGGGGCUCAACCUCGGAAUAGCAUUUGAAACUGGCAGACUAGAGUACUGUAGAGGGGGUAGAAUUUCAGGUGUAGCGGUGAAAAUGCGUAGAGAUCUGAAGGAAUACCGGUGGCGAAGGCGGCCCCCUGGACAGAUACUGACACUCAGAUGCGAAAGCGUGGGGAGCAAACAGGAUUAGAUACCCUGGUAG
This 473-nucleotide ribosomal RNA is filed under the name uncultured bacterium. Its description in RNAcentral is "bacterial SSU rRNA". It matches the Rfam family "Bacterial small subunit ribosomal RNA", at positions 328 to 793 of the family's 1533-position model. The record is from RNAcentral.